This is a non-coding RNA of Caenorhabditis elegans, 21 nucleotides long. NCBI's taxonomy places the organism in Eukaryota, Metazoa, Nematoda, Chromadorea, Rhabditida, Rhabditidae. The record is from Ensembl.
UAAACAAGGCAUGUGUAGGAA